AUGUAUAGGGGGAAGGGGACAGGGAUACUGGAGUGAUGGAGGUAGAUAUGUAUAGGGGGAAGGGGACAGGGAUACUGGAGUGAUGGAGGUAGAUAUGUAUAGGGGGAAGGAGACAGGGAUACUGGAGUGAUGGAGGUAGAUAUGUAUAGGGGGAAGGAGACAGGGAUACUGGAGUGAUGGAGGUAGAUAUGUAUAGGGGGAAGGAGACAGGGAUACUGGAGUGAUGGAGGUAGAUAUGUAUAGGGGGAAGGUGACAGGGAUACUGGAGUGAUGGAGGUAGAUAUGUAUAGGGGGAAGGAGACAGGGAUACUGGAGUGAUGGAGGUAGAUAUGUAUAGGGGGAAGGGGACAGGGAUACUGGAGUGAUGGAGGUAGAUAUGUAUAGGAGACAGGGAUACUGGAGUGAUGGAGGUAGAUAUGUAUAGGGGGAAGGAGACAGGGAUACUGGAGUGAUGGAGGUAGAUAUGUAUAGGGGACAGGGAUACUGGAGUGAUGGAGGUAGAUAUGUAUAGGGGGAAGGGGACAGGGAUACUGGAGUGAUGGAGGUAGAUAUGUAUAGGGGGAAGGAGACAGGGAUACUGGAGUGAUGGAGGUAGAUAUGUAUAGGGGGAAGGGGACAGGGAUACUGGAGUGAUGGAGGUAGAUAUGUAUAGGAGACAGGGAUACUGGAGUGAUGGAGGUAGAUAUGUAUAGGGGGAAGGGGACAGGGAUACUGGAGUGAUGGAGGUAGAUAUGUAUAGGGGACAGGGAUACUGGAGUGAUGGAG
RNAcentral lists this long non-coding RNA (765 nucleotides) under Salmo salar (Atlantic salmon). RNAcentral's name for it is "lncRNA (ENSSSAG00000084404.1)". The record is from RNAcentral. Lineage: Eukaryota; Metazoa; Chordata; Actinopteri; Salmoniformes; Salmonidae.